This is a long non-coding RNA of Ipomoea nil (Japanese morning glory), 211 nucleotides long. RefSeq lists it as uncharacterized. The transcript is spliced from 2 exons. NCBI's taxonomy places the organism in Eukaryota, Viridiplantae, Streptophyta, Magnoliopsida, Solanales, Convolvulaceae. The record is from RefSeq and is a predicted model, not a curated record.
UUCUGGUGACCGGUGGAUUGCAGUUUGCUGGCUAGGAAUCGAAGCCCUUUGUUCUAGGAGGAUUAUUUUGGAGAAACGAAAUGGAAAGUGUUGGUGGGUCUGGAAGUCAACCUCCUAUACAAAAUGUGGAACAUGAUGUGGAAGCAGAAGUUGUAGAGAAAGAUACAUCUCAGCAGCCAUUGCCUCCAUCUGUUCCUAAAAAAAAAAAAAG